AUCAUUCUGUUUGUGUACUCAAGCAUCAAACUGACAUUAGGAGCAUCUGUUGUCUUGCAAUGCAGUGGGAAGAGACAGAACGAUGGACAGUUCCUCUUUGUCAUUUUGUAUAACAUUAAAGAGUACUUCACUGACUGCGAGAAACAAUGGCUUGUCAAUGGAACUGUGACAGGACUUUGCUGAAGGAAAUCCGUCUUUCAUCUCUCCUAUUACAAGCCUGACCGCAAGCACCGCCACCCUCCAGGCGUGUCCUAAAAAUCUAGUGUGCCUGCUCUCCUGCCCCAGCGGCAAAAUCAAUGAAAAGCAGCUGUGCUCUUGUGAUUUCAGUCCUCUGACUUCACUACCUCAAGUGGGUUUUCUUGACUGGAGUGUUGGUGUUUGGAUCGGAGGGAGUGUGUCUGUGGUUCUGUUGGUGUCUGUGAUUAUCACCAUUGUACUUAAGAUUAAACAAAGGUCAAGAUUUGGUCCUAGAGUUCGAGUUCCUGCUGAACAGAUUGUUUGAUUCAGAACAAGUUCCAUCAUCACACCUGGACCUUUUAUCUUCAGUUAUUCAUUACUUUUACUCCAGAAGUAAUCUUUUUAUAAUUUCCAUCAUUAGCAUUAGCUGUAUUAUAAUGUGUGCGUUUGCUACAUUUAGCAUCUCAGUGCUUUAUAGCUUCUAGGAUUUUUUUUCAGCUUUUAAAAUAAAUCAUGACACUAGCCUGAAUGAAAUUACAUGAAAUAAUGAUAUUAUUUAGUUAGAAAUUAUACAUUUAUAUACAUGUACUGCAUGUGUCCACCUAUGAUGUGCACAUAUUGUGAACCUAACAUACAUAAAGUGAAUUUUAUGGCUGUUACACAAAUGGACACAUCCUCAGCAUGUAUAUUUGUUUAUAAAAAAUAUUUAUAUUUUAUAAAUAUAU
This is a long non-coding RNA of Carassius gibelio (silver crucian carp), 902 nucleotides long. RefSeq lists it as uncharacterized. NCBI's taxonomy places the organism in Eukaryota, Metazoa, Chordata, Actinopteri, Cypriniformes, Cyprinidae. The record is from RefSeq and is a predicted model, not a curated record. The transcript has 7 exons.